Bos indicus x Bos taurus (hybrid cattle) is the source of this 1635-nucleotide long non-coding RNA. The record is from Ensembl. Lineage: Eukaryota; Metazoa; Chordata; Mammalia; Artiodactyla; Bovidae.
GAAUUGUCCAUGUAAACCCAGCAAGGGUGUGUGGGGAUGAAUUUGGGGAAGGGUUGGGAGCUGGGAGCAAAGUUGGAUUGGCUGACACUAGGGGUCCCCUAAGGGGAGUGGUGAGACAUAGGACUGGAGGAGGGGGGUCUGAGCUUCUUCCUGGAGAUGGGGGAUGCCAGGCUGGUAAGUGCAGCUUCUGCCCUGUGAAUGGUGGGACCCCUGGAAAGCAAGCGAGGAGGCGAGCCACGUGCUCCCUUGUCAGCUGUGUUCAGGUGUUUGAGGUCAAGAGAGGAGCCAGGGACCAACCCCUGCAUCACAAGGUGAUGACCUAAGGAAGGAAAUGUUGGCCUCUUUUUCCCCAAGUGCCAAGUAGCCUGAAGCAGGAUUGGAGCCGUCUUCCUGGGCCUCUGGAUUUGCCCUGCGUGGUCUCAGUUGUCUUGUGGGAGAGGAGCGUCUGCAGGGGCGGGGUGGUGGCAAGGAGAGGGGAGGGGCUGGAAGCCUAGCGGAGGGGCUGGCACUGCGCCCUGGCCGCUGUCACAGGGUGACUCAGAGCCCCUCCUGGCACCAGCCUCUCCCGCAGUGCAAGCUGUUCCUUUGGCUCUUGCGGCCAGGCUCUCUUCUCCCCCAGGUCGGAGGCUGGGCAGAAGGACGCUGUGUCAAAGCUUGGAAACUGAACUCUAAUGAUUUGCAGCUGCCACACGGGACGUCCCUGGGUUCAGUGAGAGGUAUAGCCCUGCUGCCUCCCUCUGGUGGGAGGUGGGGUGGGACAUCCUCCAAUGUGCUUUGGCACAGCUGCCCCCUGGCCACGCCGUGGUCUCCAUCACACUCAGCCCCAGCUCUCUCCACUCCCAGGAAUUCGCGUCUUCUGCCUUUGACCUCACCGUCAACAUUCCGAUGGAAUGGGAAGCUCAUCGUCCCCUUCCCCUCCACCCGAAUGCAUUUCACGUUCUAUUUCUGGUUCUCACCUUCAUCCUCUGGGUCUCUGGGGGUCAGCAGCUUCAUCAGACCAAUUCCGAGAGAUGGUCACACCUGUCAGGCUGCAGAGAAGUGACUUCGUGAGGAGGGCGGCCAAGUGUCAGCGGGGACUGUAGUGACCACAUCUGGACACGGACCUCUGCAGCGGGGAGGGGGAGCGGGAGGCGGGGGACUCAUGAUCAAACGUCCUGAGUUUCACCAGCUGAGUUGAUUUUUGCCUCUUUUAUGGGAGUGGGCAGCCCAUCACUUGACACAAUUCUUUUACUUGUUCCAGAAAAGCAGCAGAUCAUCCCGCUCUUGGGUCAGGGAACCAGCAUCAGCAGCCACCUUUUCAUAACUCAAUAAUCAGUGAUGUUCUUUGGGGGAGUGGGAUUCCAGGUAGAUUCAUGUUUUUACAUUGUGUAAUUCCCCUCCCGCCCCACUCCGCCCCCCCAAAAAAGAAAAAGUUUUGGCAUCUGUGUGUAUGACUCCAGGGCAGCAAGUAAAAGGCAACUUGAUUCAUUCAAUUCAUGAAUAUUCAUUGGAAAUUUACCAUAAGCCUGGCACUGUUGGGGUGCUGGGAAUUCAGAGAUGACAAAGACAAGGUCAUGGUGCUUGAGGAGCACACAGUCUGGUGGGGGAGACAGGCUGGUAAAUAAAAAACCAGGCAGCGAAGUGACGGAUGUUAUC